Molecule: ribosomal RNA, 509 nt
Filed under: uncultured bacterium
Lineage: Bacteria
Description: bacterial SSU rRNA
Rfam family: Bacterial small subunit ribosomal RNA
Source: RNAcentral
AUCCUGGCUCAGGAUGAACGCUAGCUACAGGCUUAACACAUGCAAGUCGAGGGGCGAGCAUGACCUAGCAAUAGGUUGAUGGCGACCGGCGCACGGGUGAGUAACACGUAUCCAACCUACCGGUUAUUCCGGGAUAGCCUUUCGAAAGAAAGAUUAAUACCGGAUAGUAUAGCGAGAAGGCAUCUUCUUGUUAUUAAAGAAUUUCGAUAACCGAUGGGGAUGCGUUCCAUUAGUUUGUUGGCGGGGUAACGGCCCACCAAGACAUCGAUGGAUAGGGUUCUGAGAGGAAGGUCCCCCACAUUGGAACUGAGACACGGUCCAAACUCCUACGGGAGGCAGCAGUGAGGAAUAUUGGUCAAUGGACGAGAGUCUGAACCAGCCAAGUAGCGUGAAGGAUGACUGCCCUAUGGGUUGUAAACUUCUUUUAUAUGGGAAUAAAGUGAGCCACGUGUGGUCUUUUUGUAUGUACCAUACGAAUAAGGAUCGGCUAACUCCGUGCCAGCAGCCGC